CCUUUGAGUUCACAUACGCUUCUAUGAGACCACAUGAUGUAGCUUCGCACCAUUAUAUAGGUGAACCCACAUCGUAUAAUUCUAUGAGACCACAUGAUGUAGGUUCGUACCAUCAUAAAGGUGAACCAAUGUUGUAUUAACAUGUGAUAAGCCUAGAUUAGGGUAUGUCUCGACAUGCAUGGUAACCUACCCAUGAUGUCACAUUUAUGAACAGUAUCCGUAUU
RNAcentral lists this long non-coding RNA (224 nucleotides) under Gossypium barbadense (sea-island cotton). RNAcentral's name for it is "long non-coding RNA (GBAR_LNC016816)". The record is from RNAcentral. Lineage: Eukaryota; Viridiplantae; Streptophyta; Magnoliopsida; Malvales; Malvaceae.